Molecule: long non-coding RNA, 441 nt
Filed under: Malus domestica (apple)
Lineage: Eukaryota; Viridiplantae; Streptophyta; Magnoliopsida; Rosales; Rosaceae
Description: long non-coding RNA (MDOM_LNC017932)
Source: RNAcentral
AGGUAUAAAUCUCAACUCACUUUGUUUUGAGUUGAUUAAUGGUUCACCACUCUACUAGGCUUUGAAUUUCUUGGUUAAUGUUUUGUUUUUAAGUGCAUGCUAGCAUGAUUCCGCCUUUAAUUGUUAAUUGCAUGCUAUAUGGUGAUGCUUAAAUGAACAUGUUUUCACAAAAUUAUCCUUCAGUUAAUCCCCGGUCUAGAACGAUCCCUACUUACAUCUUUGCUACAAUUGUCAUCAAUAGGGUUUAAUUUGUGUGUCCAGUUAAUUUUCACAUCAGGGUCCUAGCAAACAUGUCGUCGGGUCAAUUCAGUCAACUCAUGGUCUCCUAACAAAAAUUUUCAUCAGGUUAACUGAAUUUUCAUCAGGUUUAUGGAAUUACAUUUUCAUCAUUCAAGGUUCGGAUAAUGGGUUUUCCUCGACUAAUCUUUCCCGACGAAACUC